Molecule: transfer RNA, 74 nt
Filed under: Tenacibaculum maritimum
Lineage: Bacteria; Pseudomonadati; Bacteroidota; Flavobacteriia; Flavobacteriales; Flavobacteriaceae
Also listed under: 15 other names
Description: tRNA-Thr
Rfam family: tRNA
About the family: Transfer RNA (tRNA) molecules are approximately 80 nucleotides in length.
Source: RNAcentral
GCCGAUGUAGCUCAGCUGGCUAGAGCAGCUGAUUUGUAAUCAGCAGGUCGGGGGUUCGAGUCCCUUCAUCGGCU